Molecule: ribosomal RNA, 378 nt
Filed under: uncultured Polaribacter sp.
Lineage: Bacteria; Pseudomonadati; Bacteroidota; Flavobacteriia; Flavobacteriales; Flavobacteriaceae
Description: bacterial SSU rRNA
Rfam family: Bacterial small subunit ribosomal RNA
Source: RNAcentral
AUUGUGCUUGCACAGAUGACGACCGGCGCACGGGUGCGUAACGCGUAUAGAACCUACCUUUUACAGAGGAAUAGCCUUUAGAAAUGAAGAUUAAUACCUCAUGGUAUUGUAGACUGGCAUCAGUUUAUAAUUAAAGAUUUAUCGGUAAAAGAUGGCUAUGCGUCCUAUUAGUUAGUUGGUAAGGUAACGACUUACCAAGACAGCGAUAGGUAGGGGUCCUGAGAGGGAGAUCCCCCACACUGGUACUGAGACACGGACCAGACUCCUACGGGAGGCAGCAGUGAGGAAUAUUGGACAAUGGAGGAGACUCUGAUCCAGCCAUGCCGCGUGUAGGAAGAAUGCCCUAUGGGUUGUAAACUACUUUUAUACAGGAAGAAA